UCACAAAUAUGAUGUCGUUUCUCGACUCCCGUCGUUCUUUUAGCACAGUGUCCAAGUCUGUCGUAUUUGCGAUCCUGUCGUCCACACACCUCUCACCGUCUUCCUCUGGAGACCAGGACCAGCCGAACCAGAGCUCCUAGAGAGAGAGAGAGAGAGAGAGCAUUAUCGGCUCCAUUGCAGUAAGUAAGCAUGGGCGGUGACGCGACGAACUGGGACGAAGACACCUACAGGGAAGCCAUACUGAAGGAGAGGGAGAUCCACACCCGAAGCGUCUUCAGAAACCAGAGCUCCUAGAGAGAGAGAGAGAGCAUUAUCGGCUCCAUUGCAGUAAGUAAGCAUGGGCGGUGACGCGACGAACUGGGACGAAGACACCUACAGGGAAGCCAUACUGAAGGAGAGGGAGAUCCACACCCGAAGCGUCUUCAGAACUCUUUGGUCUCCUGCCCCAAACCCUAACAAUCCCGACUCCAUUGUCGUCGCCUCCAGCGACGGAUCCCUCGCUUCCUACUCCAUUUCCUCCAUCUCCAUCAUCUCCGAGCUCCCAUUGGGGUUCACCAACGCUAAAGCUCCACAGCGACUUGUUUGUGGCAGAACCUGGUUGCUUCCUUCAAGCGCAUGAUGGACCUGUUUAUGAUGCCAAAUUCUAUGGAGAUGGUGAAGAUGCGUUAUAGCUAAGGAAUUAAUUGGUGAAAUGGGUGAUAACCAUUCUCCUCCUGAGUCUCCUAAAGAAAACCCAGAUCAUGAUUCUGAUCCAAAACCGGUCUCCAAAGAGGAUAGCUCA
Molecule: long non-coding RNA, 781 nt
Organism: Morus notabilis
Lineage: Eukaryota; Viridiplantae; Streptophyta; Magnoliopsida; Rosales; Moraceae
Exons: 4
Source: RefSeq, a predicted model, not a curated record